UUCCGGUUGAUCCUGCCGGAGGCUACCGCUAUUGGAGUUCGAUUAAGCCAUGCGAGUCGAGAGUCUUAGGGACUCGGCGUACCGCUCAGUAACACGUGGGUAACCUGCCCUAUGCUGGGGAAUAACCUCGAGAAAUUGAGAAUAAUGCCCCAUAGUUCACCACACCUGGAACGGUGGGUGGAUGAAAGCUCCGGCGGCAUAGGAUGGGCCUGCGGCGUAUCAGGUUGUAGGGGGUGUAAUGUACCCUCUAGCCAUCUACGCGUACGGGUGUUGAGAGACAUCGCCCGGAGAUGGAUUCUGAGACACGAAUCCAGACCCUACGGGGUGCAGCAGGCGCGAAAACUUGGCAAUGCGAGCAAUCGUGACCAGGGAACUCCAAGUGCAUCGGGUAAGACCGAUGCUUUUCUUGACUCUUCAAAGGUCUUGGAAUAAGGGGUGGGUAAGGACGGUGCCAGCCGCCGCGGUAAUACCGGCGCCUCAAGUGGUAGUCGCUUUUAUUGGGCCUAAAACGUCCGUAGCCGGUUUGGUACAUUCGUGGGUAAAUCAAGACGCUCAACGUCUUGAAUUCUGCGAGCACGGCCAGACUUGGACCGGGUGAGGUGUGGGGUACUCUCAGGGUAGGGGUAAAAUCCUGUCAUCCUGAGAGGACCACCUGUUGCGAAGGCGCCACACUAGAACGGAUC
Molecule: ribosomal RNA, 683 nt
Filed under: uncultured euryarchaeote
Lineage: Archaea; Methanobacteriati; Methanobacteriota
Description: bacterial SSU rRNA
Rfam family: Archaeal small subunit ribosomal RNA
Source: RNAcentral